UUUCCGUAGGUGAACCUGCGGAAGGAUCAUUAUUGUAUCACCGAGGUUCGACGCUUGUCGCUCACCCGACCUGUCCUUCACGCCCGAGUGCCCUCUCCCACAUCCAUCUCACCCCUCUCCGCACCCCCGCGUGGCUCCCCCUUUUGCUUGUUCGGAGGUGGGCUUACGUUUCCACACAAUCUUUGCAUUCAGCGUAGAAUGUAUUUUUUGUUUUUUCGAUCACGCACUCAAUACAACUUUCAACAACGCAUCUCUUCUCCCUCGCAUCGAUGUAGAACC
Molecule: unclassified non-coding RNA, 279 nt
Filed under: plant metagenome
Description: partial contains small subunit ribosomal RNA, internal transcribed spacer 1, and 5.8S ribosomal RNA
Source: RNAcentral